CCUACGGGAGGCAGCAGUGAGGAAUAUUGGUCAAUGGACGAGAGUCUGAACCAGCCAAGUAGCGGGAAGGAUGACUGCCCUAUGGGUUGUAAACUUCUUUUAUAUGGGAAUAAAACGUUCCACGUGUGGGAUUUUGUAUGUACCAUAUGAAUAAGGAUCGGCUAACUCCGUGCCAGCAGCCGCGGUAAUACGGAGGAUCCGAGCGUUAUCCGGAUUUAUUGGGUUUAAAGGGAGCGUAGGUGGAUUGUUAAGUCAGUUGUGAAAGUUUGCGGCUCAACCGUAAAAUUGCAGUUGAAACUGGCAGUCUUGAGUACAGUAGAGGUGGGCGGAAUUCGUGGUGUAGCGGUGAAAUGCUUAGAUAUCACGAAGAACUCCGAUUGCGAAGGCAGUUCACUGGACUGCAACUGACACUGAGGCUCGAAAGUGUGGGUAUCAAACAGGAUUAGAUACCCCAGUAGUC
RNAcentral lists this ribosomal RNA (460 nucleotides) under uncultured bacterium. RNAcentral's name for it is "partial 16S ribosomal RNA". It matches the Rfam family "Bacterial small subunit ribosomal RNA", at positions 338 to 795 of the family's 1533-position model. The record is from RNAcentral.